UAGGGAAUCUUCGGCAAUGGACGAAAGUCUGACCGAGCAACGCCGCGUGAGUGAAGAAGGUUUUCGGAUCGUAAAACUCUGUUGUUAGAGAAGAACAAGGACGUUAGUAACUGAACGUCCCCUGAUGGUAUCUAACCAGAAAGCCACGGCUAACUACGUGCCAGCAGCCGCGGUAAUACGUAGGUGGCAAGCGUUGUCCGGAUUUAUUGGGCGUAAAGCGAGCGCAGGCGGUUUCUUAAGUCUGAUGUGAAAGCCCCCGGCUCAACCGGGGAGGGUCAUUGGAAACUGGGAGACUUGAGUGCAGAAGAGGAGAGUGGAAUUCCAUGUGUAGCGGUGAAAUGCGUAGAUAUAUGGAGGAACACCAGUGGCGAAGGCGGCUCUCUGGUCUGUAACUGACGCUGAGGCUCGAAAGCGUGGGCAGCAAACAGG
RNAcentral lists this ribosomal RNA (429 nucleotides) under Gemmatimonadota bacterium. RNAcentral's name for it is "Gemmatimonadetes bacterium partial 16S ribosomal RNA". It matches the Rfam family "Bacterial small subunit ribosomal RNA", at positions 355 to 776 of the family's 1533-position model. The record is from RNAcentral. Lineage: Bacteria; Pseudomonadati; Gemmatimonadota.